GCAGGAUUAAGGGUUUGCGUUAGCAUGCCUAUUGCACUAGUGUUGCUAGAAGCAUUAUCCAUAGAAAUUACCAUUAUUUUAUCACUAAAGCAAAAAUAUCUACAUAUAUCUGAAACAGUGUUAGCUAUAAACCUACCCGUCUGCCGUGAAUUAAUUAUUCUAUAUGCAAUUAUGCGUUUUCAUCUAUCCAAUUACUUGUUACAGUUAGAUAAUCACAGUCAUUAUUACUUCUACCAAUAUCAGUUGUAAUAGAAAUACGAUUAGGUAUAUGAGUAAAUAAAUAGCGCAACUAGUGUUGCUAGAAGCAUUAUCCAUAGAAAUUACCAUUAUUUUAUCACUAAAGCAAAAAUAUCUACAUAUAUCUGAAACAGUGUUAGCUAUAAACCUACCCGUCUGCCGUGAAUUAAUUAUUCUAUAUGCAAUUAUGCGUUUUCAUCUAUCCAAUUACUUGUUACAGUUAGAUAAUCACAGUCAUUAUUACUUCUACCAAUAUCAGUUGUAAUAAAAAUACGAUUAGGUACAUGAGUAAAUAAAUAGCGCAAAUAUUGUUCAUAUUCCUGCUUGAAUUUAUAAAUAUCGGCCUU
This 584-nucleotide long non-coding RNA is filed under the name Nicotiana benthamiana. RNAcentral describes it as "long non-coding RNA (NBEN_LNC014965)". The record is from RNAcentral. Lineage: Eukaryota; Viridiplantae; Streptophyta; Magnoliopsida; Solanales; Solanaceae.